GUUAUAUAAGUCAGAUGUGAAAGACCCGGGCUCAACCUUGGAAUUGCGUCUGAUACUGUAUAACUUGGGUAGCUGAGAGGAAGUCGGAAUUCCUGGUGUAGGGGUGAAAUCUAUAGAUAUCAGGAAGAACACCAGUAGCGUAGGCGGACUUCUGGCAGCUUACCGACGCUGAGGUACGAAAGGUAGGGUAGCAAACAGGAUUAGAGACCCUGGUAGUCCUACCUGUAAACGUUGUAUACUAGGUGGUGGAAGUUUAAUAUCUUUCUCUGCCGGAGUUAACGCAUUAAGUAUACCGCCUGGGGAGUAUGCCGGCAACGGUGAAACUCAAAGGAAUUGACGGGGCCCCGCACAAGCAGUGGAGCAUGUUGAUUAAUUCGAUGAUACGCGAGGAACCUUACCAGGUCUUGACAUAUAUCUGACGCACAUAGAGAUAUGUGUUCUCUUUUGAGCAGAUAUACAGGUGCUGCAUGGUUGUCGUCAGCUCGUGCCGUGAGGUGUUGGGUUAAGUCCCGCAACGAGCGCAACCCCUAUUCUUUGUUGCUAACGGGUAAUGCUGAGCACUCGAAGGAAACUGCCGGUGACAAACCGGAGGAAGGUGGGGAUGAGGUCAAAUCAUCACGGCCCUUAUGACCUGGGCUUCAAACGUGCUACAAUGGGUGGUACAAAGAGUAGCCAACCUGUGAAGGGGAGCCAAUCUCAAAAAGCCACCCCAAGUUCGGAUUGGAGUCUGCAACUCGACUCCAUGAAGUUGGAAUUGCUAGUAAUCGCACAUCACCAUGGUGCGGUGAAUAUGUUCCACGGGGCUUGUACACACCGCCCGUCACAUCACCCGAGUUGAUAUACCCGAGUAUCCGGGCUACCCUUUUAGGGGGGCAGGUCCGAAGGUAUGUUGGCAAGGGGG
Molecule: ribosomal RNA, 901 nt
Filed under: uncultured organism
Description: bacterial SSU rRNA
Rfam family: Bacterial small subunit ribosomal RNA
Source: RNAcentral